CUCUACGUGCUUGCGUCAUGACGUCAGGACGUACAUAUGCUGACGUCUUCCGUCGAGCGGGAAUCUUCGUUGAGCUGCUUGUUUGUUUUGAACGCGUUGGUGAAGAUGGCGAUGAGUGCGAGUCGAGUAGAGGUGGAGGCAGACGUUGAAGAGGACGAGAGCUUCGGCCCACAGCCACUGAACCGCCUGGAGCAGUGUGGAAUCAGUGCCAGUGAUCUAAAGAAGCUGGAGGACGCAGGGUUCCACACCAUCGAGGCCGUAGCGUACGCUCCUAAAAAAGAGCUGUUGAACAUAAAAGGCAUCAGUGAGGCUAAAGCUGACAAGAUCCUGGGUGAAGCAGCUAAACUGGUUCCGAUGGGAUUCACCACAGCGACAGAGUUUCAUCAGCGCAGAGCUGAGAUCAUCCAGAUCUCCACCGGCUCCAAAGAGCUCGACAAACUGCUGCAAGGUGGUAUUGAGACGGGCUCCAUCACAGAGAUGUUCGGUGAGUUCCGUACAGGAAAGACUCAGCUGUGCCACACGCUGGCGGUGACGUGUCAGCUUCCUAUCGAUCAGGGGGGAGGAGAAGGGAAGGCCAUGUACAUCGACACUGAGGGCACCUUCAGACCUGAGAGACUGCUCGCUGUGGCAGAGAGGUAUGGACUCGUCGGCAGUGAUGUUUUGGAUAAUGUAGCAUACGCUCGAGCUUUUAACACAGAUCAUCAGACUCAGCUGCUCUAUCAGGCUUCAGCUAUGAUGGCAGAGUCCAGGUAUGCCCUGUUGAUAGUGGACAGUGCCACUGCGCUCUACAGGACAGAUUAUUCAGGAAGAGGUGAGCUCUCUGCCCGUCAGUGUCAUUUGGGGCGUUUCCUCCGUAUGCUGCUGCGUCUCGCUGACGAGUUUGGUGUUGCCGUUGUCAUCACCAAUCAGGUUGUAGCGCAGGUGGACGGAGCAGCCAUGUUUUCCGCAGAUCCAAAAAAGCCAAUUGGAGGAAAUAUUUUAGCACAUGCCUCCACGACCAGGUUGUAUUUGAGGAAGGGCCGUGGUGAAACUCGGAUCUGUAAAAUUUACGACUCUCCCUGCUUACCUGAGGCGGAGGCCAUGUUCGCCAUCAACGCGGAUGGAGUAGGAGAUGCUAAAGACUGAGGGCACAAAACAGUGUGUUCAUGUGAGAGACGGACGGUGACUGAUACACACACACGUGCUGCUAUAAUGUGUGUUCAUCUGUGCAGUGUGUGAGGGAAGAACACAGGAACAGUGCCACCUGCUGGUGAAGAGUGGUUCAUGUGUUUCAGAUGACAUUUUUCUUUUCAGCCCCCCUUAGACCUGUGAGUGAAGGACAGAAUGCAGAUUGUGAUGGAAUAAAAGAAGAGAGAAAGAAAAAGAAUAAAAGAAGGAAAACAGAAAAACAGAGCAGGAGAAUAAAAGGAAAUGAGAUGGAGUGAGAGACCGAGUGGUGGGAAUGAAAGGAAAGUUAACCUUUGCAAUGUAGAGUCUCACUGCUCUGGAGAAUCCUGGCUUUAGCUCUUCAGCCUGCACACACACACACACACACAAACACACACACACGCACACAUACACACACACGCACAGAUAAACACACACACGCGCGCACACGCACGCACGCACACAUACAUACACACACGCACACACAAACACACACACACGAACACACAGGUUGUUUCCAUGAUUACAGUUCUCUAGUUACAUUUAUUUACUUGGUUGUAAAUAUUGAGCAAUGCUGUGUGUGUGUGUGUGUGUGUGUGUGUGUGUGUGUGUGUGUGUGUGUGUGUGUGUGUGUGUGAGA
RNA transcript from Tachysurus fulvidraco (yellow catfish), 1786 nucleotides. It is a transcript of the gene named RAD51 recombinase, with no coding region annotated. The record is from RefSeq and is a predicted model, not a curated record. Lineage: Eukaryota; Metazoa; Chordata; Actinopteri; Siluriformes; Bagridae. The transcript has 10 exons.